Molecule: ribosomal RNA, 337 nt
Filed under: uncultured bacterium
Lineage: Bacteria
Description: partial 16S ribosomal RNA
Rfam family: Bacterial small subunit ribosomal RNA
Source: RNAcentral
CCUACGGGAGGCAGCAGUGGGGAAUAUUGCACAAUGGGGGAAACCCUGAUGCAGCGACGCCGCGUGAGUGAAGCAGUAUUUCGGUAUGUAAAGCUCUAUCAGCAGGGCAGAAAAUGACGGUACCUGAUUAAGAAGCCCCGGCUAACUACGUGCCAGCAGCCGCGGUAAUACGUAGGGGGCAAGCGUUAUCCGGAUUUACUGGGGGUAAAGGGUGCGUAGACGGCAGCGCAAGUCUGGAGUGAAAUGCCGGGGCUUAACCCCGGGAAUGCCUUGGAAACUUUGCAGCUUGAAAGCAGGAGAGGUAAGAGGGAUUCCUAGGGUAGCGGGGAAAUGCGUA